UACGAAGGGGGCGAGCGUUAUUCGGAAUCACUGGGCGUAAAGCGUGCGUAGGCGGUUUUGUAAGUUAGGAGUGAAAGCCCAAGGCUCAACCUUGGAAUUGCUCUUAAAACUGCAAGACUCGGAUUCGGGAGAGGAUAGCGGAAUUGUCAGUGUAGCAGUGAAAUGCGUAGAUAUUGACAGGAACACCAGUGGCGCAAGCGGCUAUCUGGACCGACAUCGACGCUGAGGCACGAAAGCGUGGGGAUCAAACAGG
This 253-nucleotide ribosomal RNA is filed under the name uncultured bacterium. RNAcentral describes it as "partial 16S ribosomal RNA". It matches the Rfam family "Bacterial small subunit ribosomal RNA", at positions 524 to 776 of the family's 1533-position model. The record is from RNAcentral.